RNAcentral lists this ribosomal RNA (486 nucleotides) under uncultured bacterium. RNAcentral describes it as "partial 16S ribosomal RNA". It matches the Rfam family "Bacterial small subunit ribosomal RNA", at positions 28 to 507 of the family's 1533-position model. The record is from RNAcentral.
GAUGAACGCUGGCGGCGUGCCUAAUACAUGCAAGUCGAGCGCUGGAACUCUAGCUUGCUAGAUUGAAGGAGUGGCGAACGGGUGAGUAAUACAUAAGCAACCUACCCACGAAGACUGGGAUAAUCUCUGGAAACGGGGACUAAUACCGGAUAGGUAAUCGGAAGGCAUCUUCUGAUUAUUAAAGGUUAAAAACACUGGUGGAUGGGCUUAUGGCGCAUUAGUUAGUUGGUGAGGUAACGGCCCACCAAGACGAUGAUGCGUAGCCGGCCUGAGAGGGUGAACGGCCACAUUGGGACUGAGACACGGCCCAGACUCCUACGGGAGGCAGCAGUAGGGAAUUUUCGGCAAUGGGGGAAACCCUGACCGAGCAACGCCGCGUGAGUGAUGACGGCCUUCGGGUUGUAAAGCUCUGUUGUAAGGGAAGAACGGUAGAUAGAGAAUAUCUAAAUGACGGUACCUUACCAGAAAGCCACGGCUAACUACGUG